GAUGAACGCUGGCGGCGUGCCUAAUACAUGCAAGUCGAGCGAACAGGCGAGGCGCUUGUUCCUCUGGCGUUAGCGGCGGACGGGUGAGUAACACGUGGAUAACCUACCUUUAAGACUGGGAUAACUUCGGGAAACCGGAGCUAAUACCGGAUAAUAUCUUGAACCGCAUGGUUCAAUAGUGAAAGACGGUUUUGCUGUCACUUAUGGAUGGACCCGCGCCGCAUUAGCUAGUUGGUAGGGUAACGGCUUACCAGGCCAACGAUCCGUGACCGCCCUGAGGGGGUGACGGCCCACACGGGAACGUAGACACGCUCCAGACUCCUACGGGGGGCAGCAGUAGGGAAUCUUCCGCAAUGGGGGAAGGCCUAACGGGGCAACGCCGCGUGAGUGAUGAAGGUCUUCGGAUCGUAAAACUCUGUUAUUAGGGAAGAACAAAUGUGGAAGUGACUAUGCACGUCUUGACGGUACCUAAUCAGAAAGCCACGGCUAACUACGUG
Molecule: ribosomal RNA, 497 nt
Filed under: uncultured bacterium
Lineage: Bacteria
Description: partial 16S ribosomal RNA
Rfam family: Bacterial small subunit ribosomal RNA
Source: RNAcentral